This 1475-nucleotide ribosomal RNA is filed under the name uncultured bacterium. RNAcentral's name for it is "16S ribosomal RNA". It matches the Rfam family "Bacterial small subunit ribosomal RNA". The record is from RNAcentral.
GAGUUUGAUCCUGGCUCAGGAUGAACGCUGGCGGCGUGCCUAACACAUGCAAGUCGAACGGAGAUAUGAUUUCGGUUGUAUCUUAGUGGCGAACGGGUGAGUAACGCGUGAGCACCCUGACUCUUAGAGGGGGAUAACACUCGGAAACGAGUGCUAAUACCGCAUAAGACCACGAUGUCGCAUGGCAAAGGGGUCAAAGGAGCAAUCCGCUGAGAGAGGGGCUCGCGUCCCAUUAGAUAGAUGGCGGGGUAACGGCCCACCAUGUCAACGAUGGGUAGCCGAGCUGAGAGGCUGAUCGGCCACACUGGAACUGAGACACGGUCCAGACUCCUACGGGAGGCAGCAGUGGGGAAUAUUGGGCAAUGGGCGCAAGCCUGACCCAGCAACGCCGCGUGAGGGAAGAAGGUCUUCGGAUUGUAAACCUCUGUCCUUGGGGACGAAAAAAAUGACGGUACCCAAGGAGGAAGCUCCGGCUAACUACGUGCCAGCAGCCGCGGUAAUACGUAGGGAGCAAGCGUUGUCCGGAAUUACUGGGCGUAAAGGGUGCGUAGGCGGCAAUGCAAGUCAGAUGUGAAAUCCCCGGGCUUAACUCGGGAGGUGCAUUUGAAACUGUAGAGCUUGAGUGCAGGAGAGGAAAGUGGAAUUCCUAGUGUAGCGGUGAAAUGCGUAGAUAUUAGGAGGAACACCAGUGGCGAAGGCGACUUACUGGACUGUAACUGACGCUGAGGCGCGAAAGCGUGGGGAGCAAACAGGAUUAGAUACCCUGGUAGUCCACGCUGUAAACGAUGAAUACUAGGUGUAGGGGGUAUCAACUCCCCCUGUGCCGCAGCUAACGCAAUAAGUAUUCCGCCUGGGGAGUACGGCCGCAAGGUUGAAACUCAAAGGAAUUGACGGGGGCCCGCACAAGCAGCGGAGCAUGUGGUUUAAUUCGAAGCAACGCGAAGAACCUUACCAGGGCUUGACAUCCUACGAAUCCUUAGGAAACUAGGGAGUGCCCUUCGGGGAGCGUAGAGACAGGUGGUGCAUGGUUGUCGUCAGCUCGUGUCGUGAGAUGUUGGGUUAAGUCCCGCAACGAGCGCAACCCCUGUGUUUAGUUGCUAACGUUUAGCACUCUAGACAGACUGCCGGUGAUAAACCGGAGGAAGGUGGGGAUGACGUCAAAUCAUCAUGCCCCUUAUGUUCUGGGCUACACACGUGCUACAAUGGCCUGAACAGACGGAAGCGAAGCCGCGAGGUGAAGCAAAACCGAGAAAGCCGGUCUCAGUUCGGAUUGCAGGCUGCAACUCGCCUGCAUGAAGUCGGAAUCGCUAGUAAUCGCAGGUCAGCAUACUGCGGUGAAUACGUUCCCGGGCCUUGUACACACCGCCCGUCACACCACGAAAGUCGGCAACACCCGAAGCCGGUGACUCAACCCGAAGGGAGAGAGCCGUCGAAGGUGGGGUUGGUAAUUGGGGUGAAGUCGUAACAAGGUAACC